RNAcentral lists this unclassified non-coding RNA (247 nucleotides) under Tetraplosphaeriaceae sp. RNAcentral's name for it is "partial contains 5.8S ribosomal RNA, internal transcribed spacer 2, and large subunit ribosomal RNA". Lineage: Eukaryota; Fungi; Ascomycota; Dothideomycetes; Pleosporales; Tetraplosphaeriaceae. The record is from RNAcentral.
CGCACAUUGCGCCCUUUGGUAUUCCUUAGGGCAUGCCUGUUCGAGCGUCAUAUCAACCCUCAAGCACCGCUUGGUGUUGGGCGCUUGUCCCCGCCCCCGGCAGGGACUCGCCCCGAAUCCAUUGGCAGCCACCGCACCGGGCCAACGAGCGCAGCAGAAUUCGCGCCUCGGGCAAGGAGCGUGGGCGACCCACUGAGCAACCCAUCAUUUUGACCUCGGAUCAGGUAGGGAUACCCGCUGAACUUAA